GAUGAACGCUGGCGGCGUGCCUAAUACAUGCAAGUCGAGCGGACGGACGAGAAGCUUGCUUCUCUGAUGUUAGCGGCGGACGGGUGAGUAACACGUGUAUAACCUACCUAUAAGACUGGGAUAACUUCGGGAAACCGGAGCUAAUACCGGAUAAUAUUUUGAACCGCAUGGUUCAAAAGAGAAAGACGGUCUUGCUGUCACUUAUAGCUGGAUCCGCGCUGCAUUAGCUAGUUGGUAAGGUAACGGCUUACCAAGGCAACGAUGCAUGGCCGAACUGAGGGGGUGAUCGGCCACACUGGAACUGAGACACGGUCCAGACUCCUACGGGAGGCAGCAGUAGGGAAUCGUCCGCAAUGGGCGAAAGCCUGACGGAGCAACGCCGCGUGAGUGAUGAAGGUCUUCGGAUCGUAAAACUCUGUUAUGAGGGAAGAACAGAUGUGGAAGGAACUGUGCACAUCUUGACGGUACUUAAUCAGAAAGCCACGGCUAACUACGUG
This 497-nucleotide ribosomal RNA is filed under the name uncultured bacterium. Its description in RNAcentral is "partial 16S ribosomal RNA". It matches the Rfam family "Bacterial small subunit ribosomal RNA", at positions 28 to 507 of the family's 1533-position model. The record is from RNAcentral.